This 1639-nucleotide ribosomal RNA is filed under the name Escherichia coli. RNAcentral's name for it is "partial 23S ribosomal RNA". It matches the Rfam family "Bacterial large subunit ribosomal RNA", at positions 612 to 2236 of the family's 2925-position model. Lineage: Bacteria; Pseudomonadati; Pseudomonadota; Gammaproteobacteria; Enterobacterales; Enterobacteriaceae. The record is from RNAcentral.
AUAAUGGGUCAGCGACUUAUAUUCUGUAGCAAGGUUAACCGAAUAGGGGAGCCGAAGGGAAACCGAGUCUUAACUGGGCGUUAAGUUGCAGGGUAUAGACCCGAAACCCGGUGAUCUAGCCAUGGGCAGGUUGAAGGUUGGGUAACACUAACUGGAGGACCGAACCGACUAAUGUUGAAAAAUUAGCGGAUGACUUGUGGCUGGGGGUGAAAGGCCAAUCAAACCGGGAGAUAGCUGGUUCUCCCCGAAAGCUAUUUAGGUAGCGCCUCGUGAAUUCAUCUCCGGGGGUAGAGCACUGUUUCGGCAAGGGGGUCAUCCCGACUUACCAACCCGAUGCAAACUGCGAAUACCGGAGAAUGUUAUCACGGGAGACACACGGCGGGUGCUAACGUCCGUCGUGAAGAGGGAAACAACCCAGACCGCCAGCUAAGGUCCCAAAGUCAUGGUUAAGUGGGAAACGAUGUGGGAAGGCCCAGACAGCCAGGAUGUUGGCUUAGAAGCAGCCAUCAUUUAAAGAAAGCGUAAUAGCUCACUGGUCGAGUCGGCCUGCGCGGAAGAUGUAACGGGGCUAAACCAUGCACCGAAGCUGCGGCAGCGACGCUUAUGCGUUGUUGGGUAGGGGAGCGUUCUGUAAGCCUGCGAAGGUGUGCUGUGAGGCAUGCUGGAGGUAUCAGAAGUGCGAAUGCUGACAUAAGUAACGAUAAAGCGGGUGAAAAGCCCGCUCGCCGGAAGACCAAGGGUUCCUGUCCAACGUUAAUCGGGGCAGGGUGAGUCGACCCCUAAGGCGAGGCCGAAAGGCGUAGUCGAUGGGAAACAGGUUAAUAUUCCUGUACUUGGUGUUACUGCGAAGGGGGGACGGAGAAGGCUAUGUUGGCCGGGCGACGGUUGUCCCGGUUUAAGCGUGUAGGCUGGUUUUCCAGGCAAAUCCGGAAAAUCAAGGCUGAGGCGUGAUGACGAGGCACUACGGUGCUGAAGCAACAAAUGCCCUGCUUCCAGGAAAAGCCUCUAAGCAUCAGGUAACAUCAAAUCGUACCCCAAACCGACACAGGUGGUCAGGUAGAGAAUACCAAGGCGCUUGAGAGAACUCGGGUGAAGGAACUAGGCAAAAUGGUGCCGUAACUUCGGGAGAAGGCACGCUGAUAUGUAGGUGAAGUCCCUCGCGGAUGGAGCUGAAAUCAGUCGAAGAUACCAGCUGGCUGCAACUGUUUAUUAAAAACACAGCACUGUGCAAACACGAAAGUGGACGUAUACGGUGUGACGCCUGCCCGGUGCCGGAAGGUUAAUUGAUGGGGUCAGCGCAAGCGAAGCUCUUGAUCGAAGCCCCGGUAAACGGCGGCCGUAACUAUAACGGUCCUAAGGUAGCGAAAUUCCUUGUCGGGUAAGUUCCGACCUGCACGAAUGGCGUAAUGAUGGCCAGGCUGUCUCCACCCGAGACUCAGUGAAAUUGAACUCGCUGUGAAGAUGCAGUGUACCCGCGGCAAGACGGAAAGACCCCGUGAACCUUUACUAUAGCUUGACACUGAACAUUGAGCCUUGAUGUGUAGGAUAGGUGGGAGGCUUGGAAGUGUGGACGCCAGUCUGCAUGGAGCCGACCUUGAAAUACCACCCUUUAAUGUUUGAUGUUCUAACGUUGACCCGU